CCAACUUAUUCUAAAAACCAAACCCAUAUGAUUCAAAUACUAAUCCCUAAUCCCUAGCCCAUGUGCCUGGCUCAUCACUUUGCCAAGUUGUCCCUACUUUGCUGCCUCUUCUAGUGCUGUUACCAGGCAACUGAAGCUUCCUUUGCUUUGUUAUGCUGAAGGUUGCCUGCUUUUCUCCUCAAACUCUGCACUUCUUCUGUGUUCUGAUCUACGGCUUUGGAGCUUAAGUGUUAGUAAGCCUCCGAUAUGGCUACCAUGCGGAUUGCCGUACAGUGCUUGGACCAAGCUCUUCUCGAUUGAUGAAGGCUAGUUCUCUGUUUGUAGAACAGGUUAAAGCUAGAGAUGAUAUAGGGAAAGGGGCUCUUCUUUAUGGGUUCUCUGAGAAGCCAGAAUAAAGCAAGGAAACUAAUUGGAGCGCUUCAAAUUAUUGGAUUGUUGGAUCAUAUGGUCGCAACGUAACAUAAAAUUCUUUGAAUUUGAAACUUUGCAAACUUGUUUGAGCUUGCAUUGUUUGGAUGCAAACUUCUUAAUUCAGGACUUUGGAGAAGUGACCAGAAGUGGUGUUUGUUCUUUUUUCAACUACACGGCACUUGAAGAUUUCUUGCAUGCACAUUAGGAACUGCAAAGGCAUGUUAAAGGAAUGGAUCACAAAUGAAAUUUGGGAUGCCGUUAUUGAUACGGUAUGGGAUACCAAAUAAUGGCAAAACAAGUUGAGAAAAGCAAGGAAAAAUUGUUUUAUGAUGAUUUAGUGCUAUGUUUAUAUUUGUUUAACAUUUUUAGAUAGUGUUUUUAUGACGAUUUUUAAUUGUAUGAACUUGAUUUUGAAUUUUA
Non-coding RNA from Theobroma cacao (cacao), 831 nucleotides. Lineage: Eukaryota; Viridiplantae; Streptophyta; Magnoliopsida; Malvales; Malvaceae. The record is from RefSeq and is a predicted model, not a curated record.